UAUUUUUUAAUUUUACUUUAGUUUUAGUUUUUUCUACUUUUAUUUAUAUAGACUUGAGAUUUUGUCAUGUAUCCUUAAGUUGUAUUUAAAAAAAUAAAAAAUAAUAGAUAUGUGGCAAAAUCUCAACCCCGUUUGUGAAAUAAAAAUUUUUCACUACUGUACAAGCCCAAUAAUGCCCAGACCCAAGAAAAUAAAUAGGCCCAAAUGCUAGACCCAACCUACUAAACCUAGCCCACACAAAAACAAAAUAACAGAAAUCCUAGGAGCCUAUUUGCUUCAGCACCACCGCAACUCACCCUCGCACGCCGCCGCGAAUCUCGCACCACGACCUUCCCCAGCGUGCACCGCUUCGUACGCCAGCAUUACCUGUAGCAACAAACGCAAAAUAGAAUAGCAAAGAAAAGGGAACAGAGCAACAAUAUGCCAACGAAAAAACAGGAUAGAUUUCUUUGGAUUUGGGUUCAUUUUUUUCCCAUUUCGGCUAUUUAAAGCCGUUAUCAAAUUUGUAAAUGGGGGAAUUUUUUUUUCAGUGUAAAAUAUAUACGAAAAUAGAGAGAAAAGAUUGAAAUACAAAGAAAAACUUGAAGGUGAAUCGUGUUUUUAUUUUUUUUAUUUUUCUCAUAUAUUCUUUUGAUUUUUUUUUUAUUUUGUAAAAUAAUAAUACAAAGAGAAGAAAAGAAACUUACCUGGCUUCGUCGCGUUUCAUCCCAUCUCCGUCGCGAUCGGAGACUGGGAUGACUGAGGCCAUAGAUCGGCCUUGAAUGGCAUUGGCGGUGGCUGAGUUGAAGGCCUGACAGAGGCUAGGGUUUAUAAGGUUUUUGUUUUGUUGUAAAAAAUGGCAAAGAAUGGUUUUUUUUAGAAAAUGUUGACUUUAAAUUUGAGAUCUAACGGCGUCGUAUGAUGGGUGAAGGGUCCGCGCGUCGACCCGACCCGCAGUUGGGUCCCGCGUUUCUACUAUAAAUGGGGAAAUUGCGCAGCUAGCCCUCCCCCUUUUGCGCCAUGUUUUUAUCAAGCCAAUUGUUUUUUAACAUUUGGCCCAAAUAUUUCUACUUUUGUUCAUUUCAGCCCGUGUCAAUGCACAGCGUUUUGGAGGGCGGAUUAUUGCUAAAAUGGUCCUCCAUGUCAUUCUCUUGUUGCAAUCUCGUCCCCAUUUUACUUUUAAUCUCAUUCGUACCCGCUGAUUCUCUCUCAAUUACAAUAUGAUCCUUUUUUGUUUUUAUUAAUCCAUUUCAUCUUUUUUUUUUAUCAUUAUUACUCUUAUUACCACGUUAUUAAUAUAUUCAUUCAAUUCGCA
This 1294-nucleotide long non-coding RNA is filed under the name Gossypium barbadense (sea-island cotton). RNAcentral describes it as "long non-coding RNA (GBAR_LNC015394)". The record is from RNAcentral. Lineage: Eukaryota; Viridiplantae; Streptophyta; Magnoliopsida; Malvales; Malvaceae.